AUUGAACGCUGGCGGCAGGCUUAACACAUGCAAGUCGAGCGAGCGGCGGACGGGUGAGUAAUGUCUGGGAAACUGCCUGAUGGAGGGGGAUAACUACUGGAAACGGUAGCUAAUACCGCAUACCAUCAGAUGUGCCCAGAUGGGAUUAGCUAGUAGGUGGGGUAAUGGCUCACCUAGGCGACGAUCCCUAGCUGGUCUGAGAGGAUGACCGGCCACACGGGAACUGAGACACGGUCGAGACGCCUACGGGAGGCAGCAGGGGGGAAUAGUGGACAAUGGGGGGAAGCCUGAUGCAGCAAUGCCGCGGGUGUGAAGAAGGCCUUCGGGGUGUAAAACACUGUCAGCGAGGAGGCGUUACUCGCAGAAGAAGCAACGGCUAACUCCGUGCCAGCAGCCGCGGUAAUAC
This 406-nucleotide ribosomal RNA is filed under the name uncultured bacterium. RNAcentral's name for it is "partial 16S ribosomal RNA". It matches the Rfam family "Bacterial small subunit ribosomal RNA", at positions 29 to 526 of the family's 1533-position model. The record is from RNAcentral.